AACAGGGUUGUCUAUCUACGGGUAACAGGGUUGUCUAUCUACGGGUAACAGGGUUGUCUAUCUACGGGUAACAGGUUUGUCUAUCUACGGGUAACAGGGUUGUCUAUCUACGGGUAACAGGGUUGUCUAUCUACGGGUAACAGGGUUGUCUAUCUACGGGUAACAGGUUUGUCUAUCUACGGGUAACAGGGUUGUCUAUCUACGGGUAACAGGGUUGUCUAUCUACGGGUAACAGGGUUGUCUAUCUACGGGUAACAGGGUUGUCUAUCUACGGGUAACAGGGUUGUCUAUCUACGGGUAACAGGGUUGUCUAUCUACGGGUAACAGGGUUGUCUAUCUACGGGUAACAGGUUUGUCUAUCUACGGGUAACAGGGUUGUCUAUCUACGGGUAACAGGGUUGUCUAUCUACGGGUAACAGGGUUGUCUAUCUACGGGUAACAGGGUUGUCUAUCUACGGGUAACAGGUUUGUCUAUCUACGGGUAACAGGGUUGUCUAUCUACGGGUAACAGGGUUGUCUAUCUACGGGUAACAGGGUUGUCUAUCUACGGGUA
Molecule: long non-coding RNA, 553 nt
Organism: Oncorhynchus keta (chum salmon)
Lineage: Eukaryota; Metazoa; Chordata; Actinopteri; Salmoniformes; Salmonidae
Exons: 3
Source: RefSeq, a predicted model, not a curated record